GAAGAUAGAGUUUGAGGAGUCAUCCCAAUAUGGAUAGCAUUUGUUGUAAAUUAGAAGGUGGUAAAAACUUGCCUUUGGAAAAAAGUUUAAAAAUUGCAGUGAGACUUAUGAAUACUCUUCAACUUCACCUGUUGGAAUAAAGGUCUUUCUUGUAAUCAGGAGAUCCUGUUGACAUGGCCUGUGUAUGGUUAAUUUCCAUGAAUAUUGGUGGAUAGUACUGUGAGAUAUUCAGCAUUUGUCCAGAUAAAACAGAAAGAGUCAAAGAGGAUCAGAAAUAAAUGAAAUCUCUGACAACUAAACUGCUUAUGUGUUUAUCCUGUUGACUGAUUCUUUUCUGGAUUGUGCUCCUUGUGGGCAGGAAAAGGAGAAGAAAGAAUGAUGGCAUGGGGGUCACAGACGGUUAUGCUGGCUUAUUCCUCUCAGACUGUUUUCAUGCUCAGAAGUGAGGGAGCAUCUUUAAGCAUCCAAACAAAUCCAAAGUACAUCUAUCCUUCAGGACGUGUGGUGUCUGCUUGGCAAGCUAAGUCAUCAUCUUUGAUUGACAGUGAAUCCAUUUCCUAAAGAAAAAGCAGCUCUGGGCACCAAGACCCAACACCGCCUGGGAUCUAAUGAGCAAGGCUAAGGAGCAAACCCAGGAAGUCCACUGCAGCCUUGAGCUGAGUUCUUGCACCUUAGUACUCAGGACUCUAACCACCAGGUUACUACCUUUAGCCGUUUGCACAUAGUUUGCUGCUGACGUGGAGCAACACCUCUAAUGAAGAGUGUCAAGAACUGGGCACCGCCUGGUUCUUUCAGCAUGCCCAUAGUUAGUGACAAUGGUCACUUAUUUUCCUCCUGGGCCUAGGACUCUCUCAUGUAGACUGUGUGGCUGAAAAGAAGUUAAAUGAAGGACUGUGAAGAGUAGAGCUCUGAAAUGAAACCUCAGGGAUCUGCUUACACUCUCAGCCCACCUUCCAAGUUCCCCCCUCCCAUUUUCACCUGUUCUUUCAUCUGUGAUGGCUACCUUGAAAGUAAGGGUUAAUGUUUCAUCUCCCUCUCAAUCUCCCAACUCUUAACACUGUGCUAUGCACAGAGGAAGUGCUCCAUAAAAGCUGGGCAAAAUUAAAUGCAUAGAAUCAAGGAGUAUCUUAGAUUUAUAAACUAGCAGGUAUGGCCAUUCUAUCUGGGUUCUCAGAAAUCCCAGAUCUUAUCUUGUCACUCUUCUCACUAAAAAUCUCAUUUUUCCUUUGUCUUCAUUUUAAUACUCUAAGCUUCUUGACUUGAUAAUCAAUCCACACACAUUCUUGCCCCAAUUUGCUUGUCCGGGUGUCUUAGUUAUCGUAACUCAGGUUAUCGUUAACAAAAUACCAUUGACUAGGUGGCUUAAACAACAAAAGUUUAUUUCUUUCAGUUCUAGAGGCUAGAAAGUCCAAGCUCAAGGCAGUACAAGGUAGGUUUCAGUCUGCAGCCUCUUCUCUUGCCUCAUGGGUGGCUGCCAUCUCACUGUGUACUCACAUGAUCUCUUCUUUGUUUGCAUGCAGAGAAAGAGAGAGAGAGAGAGAGACAGUACUUUAGUGUGUCUUCUCAUAAGGGUGCUAUUCCCAUGUGAGCGCCCCACCCUCAUGAUCUCAUUUAACCUUAAUUACCUCCCAAAGCAACAUUUCCAAAUACUAUCACAUUAGGGGUGGGGUAGGGCUUCAAUAUAUGAAUUUUGACAGGACAAAAACAUUCUGUGCAAGACAUCAGGCACAUAGGCUAACAACAUCAUUCGUCUCCACCAUCCUCUUUACUUUAUUAUGCCCAUGCCUUUGUGAAGCCAGUCCAUCUCCGGAGAGCAAUUACUUCAGUCUGCCCAGCAACGACAAGGACAUGAAGUGCUUGAGGUUGGAGAACACAUCAGAUAUGCAGAAGCCAAGAAGUCAGGGCCUUGCAGAGGGACUCACAGACAGAGACCAGUUUGAGCCUGUAAGGAUGUGUUUUCAGUUCCCUCAUGCUGUUUAGGAAAAAGUCGCAGAUGUAGAGAAAGAGCUGGUUCUGCCCUCAGGCUGUGAUAAUUAAUGUCCUGUCUACUAAUGCAAAAUGAGGUCUUGGCCAGCCUUUCCUCUCAGGAAGCUUACUUGGCAGCCUUCCAAGCCUCUUGUAGUGUCUCCAAACUGAGGUCCACACAGUCCUGUAAUUGAGGGCAAAUGAUGCAAGGCAGGCUUGUACCUGAUGGCUAUUUGCAGGACGCCCACUCUUAGAUCAUGAAGGGCUUUGUCUUUCUCUUUAAUAUCAAGUUGCAGUGCAACAAGCACAGACAUUGAACUCAGACAGACUGUUCAACCCCCCAGCUCCAGCAAUCAAAAGCUGUGCAAUAUUUGACAAAUAAAUUUAUCCCUAUAUGUCUCUGUACUAUUUUCUGCAAAAACAGGUAAAUAAUAUCUAACAAAUGAAAUAAUUUGUUUUAAACACUUAGUCUGUAGCAGCACAUCCAUGGCACACACACACAAAAAUUGUUGGGAAACUUUUAAUACCUUCUUUUCUCCAUUCUCACUUUGUCUUGUGAGAAAGUAGGUGUAUAAUAAAUAUUUGUUGAAUAAGGAGCAAUGGAAUUGGGGUUGGGGAUAGGACUAUAACAAGAACUGGUUUGGGGCCGGCUCCCUGGCCGAGUGGUUAAGUUCACGUGCUCCGCUGUGGCGGCCCAGAGUUCGGAUCCUGGGCGCGGACAUGGCACCGCUCAUCAGGCCACGUUGAGGUGGCGUCCCACAUCCCACAACUAGAAGGACCUGCAGCUAAGAUAUACAACUGUGUACGGGGGAGUUUGGGGAGAUAAAGCAGGAAAAAAAAAAAAAAAAGAUUGGCAUCAGUUGUUAG
This is a long non-coding RNA of Equus caballus (horse), 2832 nucleotides long. Lineage: Eukaryota; Metazoa; Chordata; Mammalia; Perissodactyla; Equidae. The record is from Ensembl.